Molecule: ribosomal RNA, 253 nt
Filed under: uncultured bacterium
Lineage: Bacteria
Description: partial 16S ribosomal RNA
Rfam family: Bacterial small subunit ribosomal RNA
Source: RNAcentral
UACGGAGGGGGCUAGCGUUGUUCGGAAUUACUGGGCGUAAAGCGCACGUAGGCGGCUUUGUAAGUUAGAGGUGAAAGCCCGGAGCUCAACUCCGGAAUUGCCUUUAAGACUGCAUCGCUCGAAUCCAGGAGAGGUGAGUGGAAUUCCGAGUGUAGAGGUGAAAUUCGUAGAUAUUCGGAAGAACACCAGUGGCGAAGGCGGCUCACUGGACUGGUAUUGACGCUGAGGUGCGAAAGCGUGGGGAGCAAACAGG